AUACGGAGGGUGCAAGCGUUAUCCGGAAUCAUUGGGUUUAAAGGGUCCGCAGGCGGAUUAAUAAGUCAGUGGUGAAAUCCUCUCGCUCAACGAGAGAACUGCCAUUGAAACUGUUAGUCUUGAAUUCGGUCUAAGUAGGCGGAAUGUGUCAUGUAGCGGUGAAAUGCAUAGAUAUGACACAGAACACCGAUAGCGAAGGCAGCUUACUAGACCUGGAUUGACGCUCAUGGACGAAAGCGUGGGGAGCAAACAGGAUUAGAAACCCCAGUAGUCC
This 274-nucleotide ribosomal RNA is filed under the name uncultured bacterium. RNAcentral describes it as "partial 16S ribosomal RNA". It matches the Rfam family "Bacterial small subunit ribosomal RNA", at positions 523 to 796 of the family's 1533-position model. The record is from RNAcentral.